This 155-nucleotide ribosomal RNA is filed under the name uncultured bacterium. RNAcentral's name for it is "partial 16S ribosomal RNA". It matches the Rfam family "Bacterial small subunit ribosomal RNA", at positions 1345 to 1500 of the family's 1533-position model. The record is from RNAcentral.
CAGGUCAGCAUACUGCCGUGAAUACGUUCCCGGGCCUUGUACACACCGCCCGUCACACCAUGAGAGUUGGAAAUACCCGAAGCCUGUGAGCUAACUUAAAGAGGCAGCAGUCGAAGGUAGAGCCAAUGAUUGGGGUGAAGUCGUAACAAGGUAGC